RNAcentral lists this long non-coding RNA (306 nucleotides) under Elaeis guineensis (African oil palm). RNAcentral describes it as "long non-coding RNA (EGUI_LNC017263)". Lineage: Eukaryota; Viridiplantae; Streptophyta; Magnoliopsida; Arecales; Arecaceae. The record is from RNAcentral.
AGAUAAGAGUGUAGGUGGUUGUUGGAGAAUAAUUUGCACUGAGGAUAACCAACAUUAGAAACUACUUGGAUGUCUACUCACUCGUCAGUAGUCUUCUUGAUGCUGUAGUGGUAUGAGUGGUCUUUUGAUCUACGGUAUUAUUGGCUAUUCACAACGAGGCUACUGAGUUUGACUGUAUAUUUUUUUGAUCCCUAGCCAUUUAGAUUCUUGCUGUAUAUGUUGGCUACAGUAGAUUUAGAUUCGCUAUUAGAGUAGGUGCACCUAGAUGGAAUCUAUCAACCUUGGUAGAAAAGAAAAAGCUCUAUG